AGGGCUCCCACAAGCUUAAAAUCUUCUGUUAUUGGUCCAGCUAUUAAUGUUAAUGAUUACUUACCUGUGCUCUGAUUAUUACAUGGUAAUUAGGGUUACAGAUUUGGCGAGCCCAGCCAGGAGAGCUCAGUUGAGUGUAUAAUUGUCAGUUAUUUUGUGUGUGCCUGUUGUUGGACUU
Long non-coding RNA from Thalassophryne amazonica, 178 nucleotides. RefSeq lists it as uncharacterized. The record is from RefSeq and is a predicted model, not a curated record. The transcript has 3 exons. NCBI's taxonomy places the organism in Eukaryota, Metazoa, Chordata, Actinopteri, Batrachoidiformes, Batrachoididae.